UGCAUCGGCCGGGAAUCGAACCCUGGCCGCCCGCGUGGCAGGGGAGCAUUCUACCACUGAACCACCGAUGC
Molecule: transfer RNA, 71 nt
Filed under: Cordylochernes scorpioides
Lineage: Eukaryota; Metazoa; Arthropoda; Arachnida; Pseudoscorpiones; Chernetidae
Description: tRNA-Gly
Source: RNAcentral